UUAGAUUUCCCACCCCCUGUUUUAGAAUUGCCACCCUAGCCUUUUUAAAAAAAUGCCGGGACUACCCUCCGGGACUUAAACCUCCAUACCAGUCCAGAGGUUGAUGUUCUGGACUAUUCCGAGAGUUAAAAGUUCGGAUUCUUUAGUUACAGUUAAAAUAACAUGAUCGGUGUCGUGGCCGUCUUGGAGGACUUGCCUAACGAAUUGUUGGGUUGAAAUGUUUGGUUUGUAAUUGUGGUGGUGGUUGAGAUUGUAAUUGAUGAAUAUGCCUUUUGGUUUGGUCUUAACUUACUGCAUUCUGCUGCUUGGUAAGAGUUAUCCAGGACUUUAAGUUUCGAAUCUAUCCAGG
Molecule: long non-coding RNA, 349 nt
Filed under: Lotus japonicus
Lineage: Eukaryota; Viridiplantae; Streptophyta; Magnoliopsida; Fabales; Fabaceae
Description: long non-coding RNA (LJAP_LNC001006)
Source: RNAcentral